This 1256-nucleotide long non-coding RNA is filed under the name Homo sapiens (human). Its description in RNAcentral is "HSALNT0330838". The record is from RNAcentral. Lineage: Eukaryota; Metazoa; Chordata; Mammalia; Primates; Hominidae.
UCUCAUCACAAGAGAAACAAAAAGCCUGCUUUAUAAAGGAGGAAAAUUAUAGAAAUUCUUUUCUCAUCCACCUCAGCCCCUAGACCUUAUGUGUAGCGCACAGCCCAGCCUAUAGUAGAUGCACAUUUCUGUUUUUGUCAAGCCUUACUGGGAACAUAAUCAUUCUAUUUGUAGUUGAAAAUGGCACUGAGGCUGUUGAGUGUAAAUUUUACUACCAUGGCAACUGUGGAACACAAAGAUGAUAAAUAUGAACAUGCAGCAAUAUUUUUGGCAGGUAGAGUCAGCUGGAGGUAACAUGUCUCCUUGCAGGGCAUCCCGGCGACUCUUUGGACCAGUUGAACCAAAGAGGAUAGAGGAUGAAGUCCAAAUUGGUAAUGGACUCCAGGAAUCUUUGUUAGCAGCUCUUGGAAGAAGAUGGGAGGCCAACCACACUUUUCUCCGCUUAUUGACGACACAGUUCAAAUCAUCAGGAAGAGACAUUAUGGGUCUACAGGUCUCCUGGGCUGUGAGCAGAGUCGCAGCUGGCAUCUGGGAGAAAAAAGAAAGAAGACCACAAUUUGGCCUUUAAGGAAAUAGACCUGGGAGGAGAUAAAAGGGAGUCAUCUCACUGUGUUGUCUGAUGGGCCAGAAACCCUCUUUCAGAAGAAAUUGGUUUCUGAAAGCUGAUGUGAAUUUCGUGUAGCGUUCAAUUGCUCUCUUUCUUUGUUUAGGCUUAGCUCACCAUUUUUGGAUUGAGGAGGCAAGACUUCGCGUCACUCCCCCGACCCAUCCUACCCCACAGCCCACACACUGACAUACACACAGACAUGCACACAGACACAUGUACACCCUUUAUCACUGGCAAGAGGGACCAGUUUUACAAUCCAAAAGCCUUAUCUGCUGCAGGGUCCACCAUCCUGACCCUAGCCCACCCAUGACUUCCCUCUUCCAGGCUCAGUUCUGAGCUCCAUCCCUGAUAUGGUUUGGCUGUGUCCCCAUUCAAAUCUCAACUUCAAUUGUAUCUCCCAGAAUUCCCACCUGUUGUGGAAGGGACCCAGGUGGAGGUAAUUGAAUCAUGGGGGCUGGUCUUUCCCAUGCUAUUCUCAUGAUAGUGAAUAAGUCUCAUGAGAUCUGGGUUUAUCAGGGCAUUCCACUCUUGCAUCCUCAUUCAUUUCUCUCUUGCUGCUGUCAUAUAAGAAGUGCCUUUCACCCUCCACCAUGAUUAUGAGACUGCCCCUACCGUGUGGAAGUCCAAUUAAACCUCCUUUUCUUCCCAG